RNAcentral lists this ribosomal RNA (482 nucleotides) under uncultured bacterium. RNAcentral describes it as "partial 16S ribosomal RNA". It matches the Rfam family "Bacterial small subunit ribosomal RNA", at positions 30 to 507 of the family's 1533-position model. The record is from RNAcentral.
AUUGAACGCUGGCGGCAUGCCUUACACAUGCAAGUCGAACGGUAACGGGCCUUCGGGUGCCGACGAGUGGCGAACGGGUGAGUAAUACAUCGGAACGUGCCCGAUCGUGGGGGAUAACGAGGCGAAAGCUUUGCUAAUACCGCAUACGAUCUACGGAUGAAAGCAGGGGACCGCAAGGCCUUGCGCGGACGGAGCGGCCGAUGGCAGAUUAGGUAGUUGGUGGGAUAAAAGCUUACCAAGCCGACGAUCUGUAGCUGGUCUGAGAGGAUGAUCAGCCACACUGGGACUGAGACACGGCCCAGACUCCGACGGGAGGCAGCAGUGGGGAAUUUUGGACAAUGGGCGCAAGCCUGAUCCAGCCAUGCCGCGUGCAGGAUGAAGGCCUUCGGGUUGUAAACUGCUUUUGUACGGAACGAAAAGCCUUCUUUUAAUACAGGAGGGUCAUGACGGUACCGUAAGAAUAAGCACCGGCUAACUACGUG